CGAUGAACCUCACUUCGGGAGGGGAUUAGUGGCGAACGGGUGAGUAACACGUGGGCAAUCUGCCCUGCACUCUGGGACAAGCCCUGGAAACGGGGUCUAAUACCGGAUACGAGUUUCACAGGCAUCUGUGAUUCUGGAAAGCUCCGGCGGUGCAGGAUGAGCCCGCGGCCUAUCAGCUUGUUGGUGAGGUAACGGCUCACCAAGGCGACGACGGGUAGCCGGCCUGAGAGGGCGACCGGCCACACUGGGACUGAGACACGGCCCAGACUCCUACGGGAGGCAGCAGUGGGGAAUAUUGCACAAUGGGCGCAAGCCUGAUGCAGCGACGCCGCGUGAGGGAUGACGGCCUUCGGGUUGUAAACCUCUUUCAGCAGGGAAGAAGCGAGAGUGACGGUACCUGCAGAAGAAGCGCCGGCUAACUACGUGCCAGCAGCCGCGGUAAUACGUAGGGCGCAAGCGUUGUCCGGAAUUAUUGGGCGUAAAGAGCUCGUAGGCGGCUUGUCGCGUCGGAUGUGAAAGCCCGGGGCUUAACCCCGGGUCUGCAUUCGAUACGGGCAGGCUAGAGUUCGGUAGGGGAGAUCGGAAUUCCUGGUGUAGCGGUGAAAUGCGCAGAUAUCAGGAGGAACACCGGUGGCGAAGGCGGAUCUCUGGGCCGAUACUGACGCUGAGGAGCGAAAGCGUGGGGAGCGAACAGGAUUAGAUACCCUGGUAGUCCACGCCGUAAACGGUGGGCACUAGGUGUGGGCAACAUUCCACGUUGUCCGUGCCGCAGCUAACGCAUUAAGUGCCCCGCCUGGGGAGUACGGCCGCAAGGCUAAAACUCA
RNAcentral lists this ribosomal RNA (824 nucleotides) under Streptomyces sp. RNAcentral describes it as "bacterial SSU rRNA". It matches the Rfam family "Bacterial small subunit ribosomal RNA", at positions 67 to 903 of the family's 1533-position model. The record is from RNAcentral. Lineage: Bacteria; Bacillati; Actinomycetota; Actinomycetes; Kitasatosporales; Streptomycetaceae.